Long non-coding RNA from Macaca mulatta (Rhesus monkey), 2003 nucleotides. RefSeq lists it as uncharacterized. NCBI's taxonomy places the organism in Eukaryota, Metazoa, Chordata, Mammalia, Primates, Cercopithecidae. The record is from RefSeq and is a predicted model, not a curated record.
CAAGAUCGUACCACUGCACACCAGGCUGGGCAACAGAGCGAUACUCCAUUUCAAACAAAACAAAACAAAACGAGGUAAGAGAAAAACCUCAACCUGUACACCUCUUUAUGACAGAACAACACAGAAAGAGAAAGACAAAGAAAAGACUACUCUAGGAGGAAAUGGAUGAAACAAUAUGAUUCAUACCACAAAGUACCAGAAAGUACACCAGAGUCAAUACACCAGCACUGGUCACACAAAUCCUUUUCUCCCAUCAGUCAAGAUUUUGGACAGGAAAAAUGAACAAAGAGUGAUAUUUACUGUCUACUUGACCACAUUCCACAGAGAGGGGCCUGGAAUCUGACUGAUAAGAAAUUCUUAUCCUUAGGCUGGCUGAUCAGCUCCUGGUUUUCCUUAACUGUGGACUUCCAAAAGAGCCAAACUUUGGGUUCCUGAUUACAACAUCAAAUUUCUAGGGGCCAAGGGAAAUCUUUCUCUUAGCACUCUGAAAGUUUGUUGUAAAAUCAACUCACAAAAACAGAAGAUUAACAGGGGAAAACACAUACAAAAUGUAUGAUUGCCCAACCCCCCAGUGAGGUGCAGGAGCUUAUAUACCAGCUUGAGGUUACAGAAAGAAGUGGAUCAUGGCAGAACUGGUUAUAGGACGGAGAGAAGAUGAGGUCUGCUAGCAAUGGUAGUCUUGUUAUGUACAUGAAAUCUCACAGAUAGCAUCCCUCAGAGAAUUGUUUCCUUAAGACCUUUAAAUGUGUCAGGCUCUCAUUAAUCCUUCCUACAUCUGGAAAAGAGAAGGCCUGUAUAUAUCAAGGCAGAUUUUCUACAGAUGCAAAUUUUUCCCACACACAAUGGCAUUGCAAGGCUACUUCUUUUGCUGCCUCUGACAGCCAUCUUAAAAUAUGUCAAAGAAAUAUAUUUUGGGGUAAGACAUUUUUAUUUCUUUCAAAGUGGAAUAUUAAGUGUAUAUCUCUUAUAGAUAUGCUAUUAAAUAAAUAAGGGAAUCCACUUUUUCUAUUUUCUAUUUGUUAAGAUAUUUUUUGUUUUAAUAAUGAAGAGAGGUUAACUUUUAAAAAGGUUUUCUACAUCUACUGAUACUAUCAUGCAGUUUUAUUUAUUUUUACAGUUAAUGCGGUGAAUAAUAUUGACUGAUUUUCAAAUGUGAGUUCCUGGAGUAAAUCCUACUAUAUCAUGAUGUGCUUUUAAAAUAUAUAUAUUGCUGGAUUCAGUAUGCUAAUACACUAAUAAUUUUUAACAUCUGUGAUCAUGAGAGACAUUGGCUGACCAAAAAUGGGAAACUGACAAGAGUAAUAAACAAAAUGGGCUUAUAAAUAUUCAUACCUGCUUGAUACUUAAAAAGGCCUUUUAAUGUAUUUUUCUGCCCCACUCAGGCGGACUUUUAAAUAUCUGGCAAGAGGUCUCAUUCAGGCUAUUCAAAGGUCAAUAUUAAUCUGAAUUAUUCCACGUUUGUAGGCAUCCUCAUUAUCUUUUCAAUACAGAUUGAAUUAUUGGGGAUUCAAACGGCAGAGGAAAAAGUCAAAGCAUAUAAGGAACAGAAACAGCACACUCAGACAUGAAAAACUGUCCUGGCUUAAAGGGUUCCUUUCCUCUCAGGGUUAAUGUCACUAGCCAGGUUCCUAAGCUACGUGGAACACCCAGGACCAGAAGAAUAUAAAAUUGCAAAAGCUGGUUGCUCCUGAGUCCAAGAGUUCCUGGUUUUCCUGGACACAAACGAUAGCGCAGCCCUUUCUUCCCCAUGUGCCAGAGGCCUGGGGUUCUGCAGAAGAGGCCUGGAGGACCCAGACACUGCAAGGCCUGCGCUCAGUAUAUUCUGGGCCCUGUCCUCUCACCUUCUAUUUCUUGUAUGGCCCCCAUACUCAUGCCAGCUAUCCUAGAACAGUCAAGAGUUCAAUUGUGACCUGCUUCCUCCCUCACCCUCUUCUCCCCAACCUCCACACCACACUUCUUCUUUGGGAAGAUUUGUAAAAAUUAAAGUUAUUAUAUCCAUGUAA